CGAUUCGAGCGCAGCGAGAAAGCGUUGCCGCAGGCAACGACCCGAAGGGCGAAGCGCGCAGCGCUGAGUCAUCCUUCCCCCACCACCA
This 88-nucleotide small RNA is filed under the name Salmonella enterica subsp. enterica serovar Gallinarum. Its description in RNAcentral is "partial RtT sRNA". It matches the Rfam family "RtT RNA", at positions 44 to 130 of the family's 130-position model. From Rfam's summary of the family: This family represents a bacterial cis-regulatory element known as RtT RNA. The exact function of RtT is unknown although it is thought that it may be involved in changing the cellular response in relation to amino acid starvation. RNAcentral also lists the same sequence under 21 other names. Lineage: Bacteria; Pseudomonadati; Pseudomonadota; Gammaproteobacteria; Enterobacterales; Enterobacteriaceae. The record is from RNAcentral.